CCCCGGGCGCCCUCGAGCGGCAGGGGCUUAGACGCGGCCCGCAUCCAUCCAGGAGGCUCCAGGCCAACGCUCGAUAGCGUUCUACCGGAGGGUCCUCCUCUCCUCCCAGAACCCCUGCCGAGGACGUGGCUCCAAGGCGUUACAGAGCUUUGGGCGGGCACUGGCCGCCGCUGACCCCAGAGCUAGGGGUGCCUUCCUGCUCCGCACGUCCCUCUCCGCUCAUUCUUUCCACGCAUCCAGGUCAAACGUCCAAAGUAAGAUGUCUGCCAGGGCCUGUGCUCUCCCCUUUCCUCCUUUGCCCUCCUUUCCCUCUGUCCUCUUCUCCAGGAGCCCGGAGCAGUUGGCUUCAGCAGGGAGCUGGCCUCACCACCUGGUCCAGGCUGUGCUCCGGAAUUCGCCAGGACAUCCGUGCUCACUGGACCCUUUGGUGAGGCCCAGCCUGAGGCCCUUGCACCAGAGGUUCACGUUCUCUGAGAACCCAUGGGGUGUGGCAGCGAGGCAUGGUUGUGAGAGGUAACUGCAGAGCAAGGUGGGCUGUAUGGAGGAGGUGGCUGGCUCAGAACAAGACCUUAAACUUUAAGGCUUCAAGAUUGGUUAAGUUCUGAAGGCAGAGUGUCAUAGGAUGGAGACACAGGGCGCUUUGGCACACGGGCAGAAGGCAGUGUGACACUGAGGCAAGAGGCCAGGCUGCUGGCUUUGAGGAUAGAGGAAGGGGCCACGAGGCAAGGAGCGCAAGGAGCACAGCCCUAGAAGCUGGAGAUGCAGCUGGAGAAGGAAGACAUUCUCCCCUGGGGCCUCCGGAGGGAGAGCGGCCGAGCCAUCGCCUGGACCUCAGCCCAGUGAAGCUGACUUUGGACUUCUGCCGUCCACGGCUGUAAGAGGAGCCCUGAGAGGAGGGAGCCGUGUGCCUGCCUGUAUGAAUUCUUGAAAGCAAGUUCUGUACAACUCAACGGUCUCCCUUUCGAUGUUGUUUGAGACAGAAGAGCACACUCUCCUAAGCCAUACUGUCUGGGAUCAAAUCCUGGCUCCACCAUCCAAUAGCUGGGUGACCUUGGACAAAUUACUUAACCUCUCUGUGCCUCCAGUUCCUCUUCUGCAGAAUGGCAUGGUAACGGCACUUCAGUGUUGAGGGUUGAGAGGAGUAAAGCCGCAAUGCAUGUGCCUGGCACAUUCUAGGCAUGUUAUUAUCAUUGCUCACGUUCUGUGGAUGAUCCCUCACUAUAAACCUGUGUUUUCUGGGGUCACCAAGAAUGUCCAUAUUUUUAAACCCACUUCAGUUCUGAUUCCACCUCACCUCUCCCUAGCACUUAGCACUGCUGGCCAUGAAUUUUUCCUCAAAAUGGUCUUUUCCUUUUGUCAAAGGAACGAAGGUAGCUCUGGGGCCCGGGGAACGUGGGGCUUGGGGUGGUGCUGUGACUGUCUGGUGCGUUCUGCCACAGCCAGCCUUGGGAGGGGUCCUGGGGCCUGUCAUGUGGGUUGCCAAGGUCAUCCCUAUCUCCUGAGAUGGACCCUCCUUGAGUGGACUGUGUGUCCCCAUGAACUCUCAGCACCUGCUGAGAACAGCCCUGGAGGAGGCUUUGAUAUCAGGAGCCAAGGUUUCCAGGAAUCUUUGCCGCAACGUGAGAUGCGGAGGCAGGGGCAUGAAGAGAUGGGCCAGCGUGCACACGGCGUCAGUCAUUCUGGAUUUGUCACCCGCAAGGCUUAGCUGUUCAGCAGGGCCACUUCAAAAGAGAAAGAAGCAUCGAAGGCUCCACACCUGCUUUUCUGGAGGAGAGGAUACGGGGAGGACAAAGAUGGACCUGCAGCUGACCAACUCCCCUAUAUGCCCACAAAUUAGAUAGCUUAGAUGAAGUGGACAAAUUCCUAGGAAGACAGAAACUACUGAAACUGACUCAAAAGAAAUGUUAAAAUCUGAAUAGAUCUAUACAGUAAAGAGUUUGAAUUAAUAAUCAAAAACUUUUCACAAAGAAAAGCCCAGGCCCAGAUGGCAUCACUGGUGAUUCUACCAAACAUUUAAAGAAGAAUUACUAUCAAUCCUUCAGGAACUCUUGCAAAAAAUAUAAACAGAGGGAAUACUUCUCAAUUCAUUCUAUGAGACCAUAUGAUCCUGAUACCCAAAACAGGCAAACAUAACACAAGAAAACUAAAAAGCAACAUCCCUGAUAAAUAUAGACACAAAAAAUCCUCAGCAAACUACUAGCAAACAGAAUUUGUUAACAUAUAAGAAUUAUAAUAACUUCCCUGGUGGUACAGUGGAUAAGAGUCGGUACUCCCAAUGCAGGGGGCCUGGGUUCGAUCCCUGGUCUGGGAACUAGAUCCCACAUUCAGGCUUCAACUAAGAGUUCGUAUGCCACAACUAAGGAGCCCACCUGCCGCAACUAAGACCUGGUGCAGCCAAAUAAAUAAAUAAAAUUUAAGAAGUAAUGAUAAUAAAACAAAACACUAGACCAUAAGGUAGAAUUCCAAAUGGUAUUAAUUAGGGAGACCACUAACAUUUAAAAAAAAAAAAAAAGAAGAAUUAUAAACCAUGACUAAAUGGGACUUAACCCAGUAGCUUGACAUCCAGAAAUCAAUUAGUGUAACAUGUUCUCAUUCCCCUUUUUCUUUUUUUAAAAAAAUUAAUUAAUUAUUUAUUUAUUUUUGGCUGUGUUGGGUCUUCGUUUCUGUGCCAGGGCUUUCUCUAGUUGCGGCGAGCGGGGAUCACUCUUCAUUGCGGUGUGUGGGCCUCUCACUGUCAUGGCCCCUCUUGUUGUGGAGCACAGGCUCCAGAGGCGCAGGCUCAGUAGUUGUGGCUCACGGGCCCAGUUGCUCCGUGGCAUGUGGGAUCUUCCCAGACCAGGGCUCAAACCUGUGUCCCCUGCAUUGGCAGGCAGAUUCUCAACCACUGCGCCACCAGGGAAGCCCCUCCCCUUUUUCUUAAUGAGAUGUUUUAUUGCAGUAAUUCCAUUCCUUUUAUAUUCUUGUCCACUGGGAGUUUUGGAGGCAGAUGUCUUAUUUCUUAGCCUUCAGAAGUUCUGGUGGCUACAAGUUUGAGACGAAGAUGUCAGCAGAGCUGGUUUCUUCUAAGGCCUUUCUCUCUGACAUGUAGAUCAUUGUCUUCUUCCAGGGACUUCACAUGGCCUUCCCUCUUGGCAUCCAAUAUGGAUUUUAACAGAGCCCAACCUACCUGGGGGGAAGGAAAAUAUUCAGCUCCAGCUCUCUUUAGCUUUCCUUUCUCACUCAAAGAGAAAUCUGGAAAGAAGCCAGAGAGAAAAAUACCCCCACCUCACCAACAGCAACAAGGAUAAGGAUUACAUGAGACCAUGUUUUCUCUUCAGAAACCAUGCAAGCAAAAGCAUGGAAUGAAAAAUUUAAACUGAUGAAAGAAAAAAAUCCACCAAUUUAGAAUUCUUUAUCCAGUGAGAUUAUACUAGAAAUGUGAGGAGAAAUAAAGACGUUCUCAUACAAACAAAAAUUGAAGGAAUUUCUCACCAGUAGAUCAGUCCUGCAAGAAGUGUUAAGAGAAGUUCUUCAAAGAGAAGGAAAAUGAUACAGGUCAAAAUUCAGAUCUACAUAAAGAAAUAAGGAACAUUAGUGAAGAAAUAAAUGAAGGUAAAAUAAAAUCUUUUAUUUUUCUUAUACUUAGCUGAUCUAUCAGUUUGCUUGAAAUAAUGAUAGCAAUACAUUAGAUGGUUGUAGCUUGUGGAAAAGGGAAACAUAUGGUGGCAAUGUUACAAGGGAUGGGAAGGAAGAACUGGGGGUACUCUGUUACAAGGUACUUGAACUACCUGCGAAGGGAUAUACUAUCAUUUGAAAAUGGAUUUAGAUUAAUUGUAAAGGUAGAGUGCAAACUCUAGGGAAACCACUAAAGAAAUCACUAAACCAUUUAAAGAAGUAUAAUUGAUUUGUUAAGAGAGGAGAGAAACCAGAAUCAUAAAAUACUCAAACCCAGAGAAGGUAGAAAAAGAGUGGAAGACAAAGAGGAAACAAAGACAAAAGCAUCAAAUAGAAAACAGUUAUAAAUAUGGUAAAUAUUAAUCCAACUAUAUCAAUAAUCAGUUUAAAUGAUCUAAAUACACCAGUGAAAGAAAGAGACUAUCAGAGUGGAUAAAAAAAUGACCCAACUAUAUGUUGUCCACAAGGAACCCACGUUAAAUAUAAAGACACAGGUGUGUUAAAAGUAAAGGAAUUAAGAAAGAUAUACCAUGUUAACACAAAUCAAAGAAAACUGGAUGAAGAUGAACAGAAGACAUAAACUUCCAGUUAUAAGGUAAAUGAGUAUUAGGGAUGCAAUGUACCGCAGGAUGACUCUGGCUAACAGUGCCGUACGGCAUACGUGAAAUGAUAGAUGGCCAACUCUGCCAUGUGGCAUACGUGAAAUGAUACGUGGCCAACACUGCUGUGCAGCAUACAUGAAAUAUACGUGGCCAGCACUGCUGUAUGUUGUAUAUGAAAGUUGUUAAAAGAGUAAAUCCUAAGAGUUCUCAUCACGGGAGAAAAAAAAGUAAUUUUUCUUUUUUCUUUCUUUUCUUUUUUUGGGUUUUUAUAUGAGAUGAUGUAUGUCAGCUAAACUUACUGUGGUAAUCAUUUUGCAAUAUAUGUAAAUCAAAUUAUUAUGCUGUGCACCUUAAACUUAUACAGAGUUGUAUGUAAAUUAUAUCUCAGUUAAACUGGAAAAACACUGGAGUAGGAUUAGUAAUUUCAUACAUAAUUAUGAAAGAAUUAAUUCUCCAAGAAGAUGUAACCAUCCUUAAUGUGUAUGUGCCUAACAGUAGAGAGUCAAAUGCAUGAGGAAGAAACUGAUAGAAUUGCUAGGAGAAAUAGAUGAAUCCACCAUUAUAUUUGGAAACUUCAACAGCCUUCUACCAGUAAUUGACAGAUCUAGCAGGCAGUAAAUAGGUAAGGACAUAGUUGAACUCGAUAACACCAUCAAUCAACUGGAUAUAAUUAUAUCUAUUGACUACUUCAUCCAACAACAGCAGAAUACACAGAAUUCCUCUCAGGCUCAUAUGGAACAUUCACCAAGAAAGACCACAUUCUGGGCCUUAAAACACAUCUUAACAAAUUUAAAAGAGCAGAAAUCGUACAAUGUCUGUUCUCAAGCCACAGUGGAAUUAAACCAGAAAUCAAUAACAGAAAGAAAGAUAGCUA
Physeter macrocephalus (sperm whale) is the source of this 5130-nucleotide long non-coding RNA. RefSeq lists it as uncharacterized. Lineage: Eukaryota; Metazoa; Chordata; Mammalia; Artiodactyla; Physeteridae. The transcript has 6 exons. The record is from RefSeq and is a predicted model, not a curated record.